Long non-coding RNA from Megalobrama amblycephala (Wuchang bream), 787 nucleotides. RefSeq lists it as uncharacterized. The transcript has 3 exons. Lineage: Eukaryota; Metazoa; Chordata; Actinopteri; Cypriniformes; Xenocyprididae. The record is from RefSeq and is a predicted model, not a curated record.
GUGGCCAAUACUGAUUCUGGAUAAUUUCCUCAAAAUUGCCAGUGAUCCUCCUGUGUGAAUCUCGUGAACGCAAACUGAAGCCGAAGCAGAUAACGUUAGCGUGUUUGCCUAGUUAAUUUAGUUAUCAUGCGGCUAUUUAACCGUCAAAUUUAGGCGAAAAAGUCCAUUAACUGUUGUCAAUAAUUUAGAAAUGUAUGAUCACUUUCAAAGCAGCUUUCGGUUAAUGGACGCGUCGAAUCCACGUGACCAACUUGAGUCCGUUGUGAACCCGGAAAUCUUUCGUCGUUACGUGAAAUGCAGGAUCGUGGAUUCUUAAGAUAAUUUCCGAAUUUUGCCUAGGAAAAUUCGUUAAACAUAUUGCUUCGAACGUGAGUGACACUCCGCGACCCGCGAACCCGUUCAGCAACACGUGAUGCAGUUGUUUACCGAAAGGACGAUACAAAAUGAAUGAAUGGUGUGUUUGCCUGAGAUCCAGCUUCUGACUCAUCUGACCAUCAUGGACUCUGGAGUGAGUGUGUUUUGUUGGACCGGCUCAGAGCGUUGAGUGAAUCCCAUCAGCCCGACCUCGGCCCGCUCUCAUCUGCUGCUCCAUCCACACGCAGAGGAUACAGGGAAGAUGAUAAUCUGCUAAAACGCUCCUUCCCCGCACCAGCCGGCUUAUUAAAGCAUGCAGAUGAGCGCGUGACGAGAUGUGCAUGUGAUCACGGUUCUCCGGACCUCACGUGUGUGCUGUCUUCUGCAAUGAGUGCUGAACUGAGAGCUUGUCAAUUAAACUGAACGAGUUGCU